AGUGGACAGAGCUGAGGUCAUCUUCAGCUGGACCCAGUUCCUGUCGGCAGUAAUAGAAGACGUCAAAGACAUCAGGUCGCAGGGUGGUCAGCUUCUGACCUAUGAUAAGGAUGAGGCUGUGGAAGCCGUACUGCAAAAUGAAGCCGCCUAUGCAAUUCAAUCUCAAGGCAGCAGUCCUCAAUGUGGCGGUGUCCGGGCUGAACCAAGUGGACCCAGG
Long non-coding RNA from Hemicordylus capensis (graceful crag lizard), 217 nucleotides. RefSeq lists it as uncharacterized. The transcript is spliced from 3 exons. The record is from RefSeq and is a predicted model, not a curated record. Lineage: Eukaryota; Metazoa; Chordata; Lepidosauria; Squamata; Cordylidae.